RNAcentral lists this ribosomal RNA (641 nucleotides) under uncultured bacterium. RNAcentral describes it as "bacterial SSU rRNA". It matches the Rfam family "Bacterial small subunit ribosomal RNA", at positions 45 to 732 of the family's 1533-position model. The record is from RNAcentral.
UGCUUUCCAUGCAGUCGUACGAAGUGUUAAACUUUAGUGGCGGACGGGUGAGUAACAGUGAGAAUUUACCUUUAGGAGGGGAAUAACAGUUGGAAACGACUGCUAAUGCCGCAUAUCAUAACUAUGAAAGAAGAAAUUCGCCUAAAGAAAAGCUUGCGUCUGAUUAGCUAGUUGGUAAGGGUAAAGGCCUACCAAGGCGACGAUCAGUAGCUGGUUUGAGAGGACGACCAGUCACACUGGGACUGAGACACGGUCCAGACUCCUACGGGAGGCAGCAGUGGGGAAUUUUCUGCAAUGGGCGAAAGCCUGACAGAGCAAUACCGCGUGAGGGAAGAAAGCCCACAGGGUUGUAAACCUCUUUUGUCAAGGAAGAAGUUCUGACGUUACUUGACGAAUAAGCAUCGGCUAACUCCGUGCCAGCAGCCGCGGUAAGACGGGGGAUGCAAGUGUUAUCCGGAAUCACUGGGCGUAAAGCGCGCGUAGGCGGCUUUUUAAGUCAGGGGUGAAAUCCCGGAGCUCAACUCCGGAACUGCCCUUGAAACUGGAUGGCUAGAAUACUGGAGAGGUGAGUGGAAUUCCGAGUGUAGAGGUGGAAUUCGUAGAUAUUCGGAAGAACACCAGUGGCGAAGGCGACUCACUGG